Molecule: ribosomal RNA, 256 nt
Filed under: uncultured bacterium
Lineage: Bacteria
Description: partial 16S ribosomal RNA
Rfam family: Bacterial small subunit ribosomal RNA
Source: RNAcentral
UACGUAGGGUGCGAGCGUUAAUCGGAAUUACUGGGCGUAAAGCGUGCGCAGGCGGUUCGUUGUGUCGGCGGUGAAAGCCCCGGGCUUAACCUGGGAAUGGCCGUUGGAAACUGGCGAACUGGAGUGUGGCAGAGGGGGGUGGAAUUCCGCGUGGUAGCAGUGAAAUGCGUAGAGAUGCGGAGGAACACCGAUGGCGAAGGCAGCCCCCUGGGCUAACACUGACGCCUCAGGCACGAAAGCGUGGGGAGCAAACAGG